CAGUCGCCGCGGGAAUACGUAGGUCCCGAGCGUUGUCCGGAUUUAUUGGGCGUAAAGCGAGCGCAGGCGGUUAGAUAAGUCUGAAGUUAAAGGCUGUGGCUUAACCAUAGUACGCUUUGGAAACUGUUUAACUUGAGUGCAAGAGGGGAGAGUGGAAUUCCAUGUGUAGCGGUGAAAUGCGUAGAUAUAUGGAGGAACACCGGUGGCGAAAGCGGCUCUCUGGCUUGUAACUGACGCUGAGGCUCGAAAGCGUGGGGAGCAAACAGGAUUAGAGACCCCAGUAGUCCCUGUCUCUUAUACC
Molecule: ribosomal RNA, 301 nt
Filed under: uncultured bacterium
Lineage: Bacteria
Description: partial 16S ribosomal RNA
Rfam family: Bacterial small subunit ribosomal RNA
Source: RNAcentral